GACUAACGUUAAACGGCCGCGGUAUCCUGACCGUGCAAAGGUAGCAUAAUCACUUGUUCCUUAAUUAGGGACUAGAAUGAAUGGCUUAACGAGGGUUCAACUGUCUCUUAUUUCCAAUCAGUGAAAUUGACCUUCCCGUGAAGAGGCGGGAAUGAAAAAAUAAGACGAGAAGACCCUAUGGAGCUUUAAUUAACAACUUAACAUUUUAAACCUAAUAACCUACUGGAUCAAACACACAAGAACUUAAGUUAAAAUUUCGGUUGGGGUGACCUCGGAGAAUAAAAAAACCUCCGAAAGAUUAUAGCCAAGACACACAAGUCUAAGCACCUGAAUCCAAUUGACCCAAUUUUUUUUGAUCAACGGACCAAGUUACCCUAGGGAUAACAGCGCAAUCCUAUUCAAGAGUCCAUAUCGACAAUUAGGGUUUACGACCUCGAUGUUGGAUCAGGACAUCCCAAUGGUGUAGAAGCUAUUAAUGGUUCGUUUGUUCAACGAUUAAAGUCCUACGUGAUCU
RNAcentral lists this ribosomal RNA (514 nucleotides) under Peromyscus leucopus (white-footed mouse). RNAcentral describes it as "partial 16S ribosomal RNA". It matches the Rfam family "Bacterial large subunit ribosomal RNA", at positions 1915 to 2606 of the family's 2925-position model. Lineage: Eukaryota; Metazoa; Chordata; Mammalia; Rodentia; Cricetidae. The record is from RNAcentral.